Molecule: ribosomal RNA, 257 nt
Filed under: uncultured bacterium
Lineage: Bacteria
Description: partial 16S ribosomal RNA
Rfam family: Bacterial small subunit ribosomal RNA
Source: RNAcentral
GACGGAGGAUGCAAGCGUUAUCCGGAAUGAUUGGGCGUAAAGCGUCCGCAGGUGGCAAAUCAAGUCUGCUGUUAAAGCGCAGGGCUUAACUCUGUAAAGGCAGUGGAAACUGAUUAGCUAGAGUGCUGUAGGGGCAGGCGGAAUUCCGGGUGUAGCGGUGGAAUGCGUAGAGAUCCGGAGGAAGACCGGUGGCGAAGGCGGCCUGCUGGGCAGUUACUGACGACUGAGGCGCGGACAGCGUGGGGGAGCAAACAGGG